UGGAAUGUAGCUCAAUGGUAGAGCACCUGACUGUUAAUCAGGUGGUUCCCGGUUCGAGUCCGGGCUUUCCAG
This 72-nucleotide transfer RNA is filed under the name Agrobacterium phage OLIVR1. RNAcentral's name for it is "tRNA-Asn". It matches the Rfam family "tRNA". Rfam says of the family: Transfer RNA (tRNA) molecules are approximately 80 nucleotides in length. Their secondary structure includes four short double-helical elements and three loops (D, anti-codon, and T loops). RNAcentral also lists the same sequence under 2 other names. The record is from RNAcentral. Lineage: Duplodnaviria; Heunggongvirae; Uroviricota; Caudoviricetes; Schitoviridae.